This 460-nucleotide ribosomal RNA is filed under the name uncultured bacterium. RNAcentral describes it as "partial 16S ribosomal RNA". It matches the Rfam family "Bacterial small subunit ribosomal RNA", at positions 338 to 795 of the family's 1533-position model. The record is from RNAcentral.
CCUACGGGAGGCAGCAGUGAGGAAUAUUGGUCAAUGGGCGUAAGCCUGAACCAGCCAAGUCGCGUGAGGGAUGAAGGUUCUAUGGAUCGUAAACCUCUUUUAUAAGGGAAUAAAGUGUGGGACGUGUCCUAUUUUGUAUGUACCUUAUGAAUAAGGAUCGGCUAACUCCGUGCCAGCAGCCGCGGUAAUACGGAGGAUCCGAGCGUUAGCCGGAUUUAUUGGGUUUAAAGGGUGCGUAGGCGGCCUUUUAAGUCAGCGGUGAAAGUCUGUGGCUCAACCAUAGAAUUGCCGUUGAAACUGGGGGGCUUGAGUAUGUUUGAGGCAGGCGGAAUGCGUGGUGUAGCGGUGAAAUGCUUAGAUAUCACGCAGAACCCCGAUUGCGAAGGCAGCAUGCCGGCUUCCGACUGACGCUGAAGCACGAAAGCGUGGGGAUCGAACAGGAUUAGAUACCCCAGUAGUC